Molecule: transfer RNA, 75 nt
Filed under: Bacteroidetes bacterium RBG_13_43_22
Lineage: Bacteria; Pseudomonadati; Bacteroidota
Also listed under: 3 other names
Description: tRNA-Thr
Rfam family: tRNA
About the family: Transfer RNA (tRNA) molecules are approximately 80 nucleotides in length. Their secondary structure includes four short double-helical elements and three loops (D, anti-codon, and T loops).
Source: RNAcentral
GCCAGAGUAGCUCAGGGGUAGAGCACUUCCUUGGUAAGGAAGGGGUCAGGGGUUCAAUUCCCCUCUCCGGCUCAA